Arachis ipaensis is the source of this 383-nucleotide non-coding RNA. Lineage: Eukaryota; Viridiplantae; Streptophyta; Magnoliopsida; Fabales; Fabaceae. The record is from RefSeq and is a predicted model, not a curated record.
AUGCUGCUGGCGUCAAAUGGGCUCUGAGGACCUUAGGUGAUAGAUGGAAGGCCCAUAAAUAUAAUUUACGGGGAGAAUACUUCUUUCCUAACAAAAGAAAGGCAGAAAUCCUGGCUGCGAAUCCCUCAGACAUACUGCCUGUUGAAUGGACUGCUUUUGUGGAUCAUUAUAUGGAUCUUAAAACAAAGAAACAAUGUUUGCAAAACGCCAGAAAUUGUGAGAAGCUUAUAGUUUCACAUGCCGGUGGAAGUAAAAGCAAUGCUAGAAGAGCAACUUAGAUGGAAAAAAAUUGGGAAGGCCUGUAUGUCGAAGCGAGGUUAUUGUAUCAACUUUGCUAAAGAAAGAUGGGAGUUAUGUCAGCGGGGAAGGAUAACGAUUAGCUG